Molecule: long non-coding RNA, 2008 nt
Organism: Lotus japonicus
Lineage: Eukaryota; Viridiplantae; Streptophyta; Magnoliopsida; Fabales; Fabaceae
Exons: 8
Source: RefSeq, a predicted model, not a curated record
UUCAGUUUAAAAAAAUAGAAACGCUUCCCCUUUCACCUUACCUUCGUUCAUUUUCUCCUUCUCUGAGCCGUUUCUCUAGGGUUUCAAAAUCAUUUAAAACCUUCCUCAGAGAAUUUCAUGUAUCUGGCUGCUUCAGUCAAGGAUUCGCAUUCUUUAGAUUAUCAGUUUCAUUCGCACCCUUUUCUCCCAAAAUUUUCAGCGCGCCGUUUGAGAGGAAGAAAGAAGCUUUGGAUGAUUCGUGAUAACUGAGAGUUUGUGAAGCCAUGGGCUCUGAACAAGGCGAGGAUUGAGUAAGGGUUUUGUGAGUCGGUGAGACGAACUCGGGUGGAGAUGCUGGAAGCGGUUUCAGGGGAGAAGUUGAAGUUGUUGAUGAGGUAGUUGGUGGUGAAUGAGUGUUGUUUGGAGGAGGAAAAGUGGUGAAGAAAUGAGGGGGUUUUGAUGAUGGUGAUGUUGAGGUGAAGUUGAUAAAGGAUGGGAGCUUUGAUGUUGAGGUUAAGGUCCAUGUGAUUCGCUGCAAUGGAGUAUAAGAUUGUGGUGGCUGGGUUUGAUAAUGCUGCAAAGAUCACCACCAUUUAUAAAUUGCAUUUGGUGCAUAUGACUAUGGCUGAGGUUUGGCACCGGAAAUAGUUCCUUCAAUGGUGGUUGUGGCUGGGUGAUAGGGUUUUCAUGGUGCAUUUGGGUUUUUCCGCAAUUUUUCAGGUUUGUUUCUCUUUCUGGCGGUUGGGAUUCGUUCUCGCGGCUGGCACCCAAUCUAAGCUGUUGAUUACCUUUGAAUCCAAAAAUGACUUCUCUCUAUUGUAGUUUUAAAGGAAAAAAUGUAACACAUAACUCCAAUUCAAUUUUACGUUACAGUCUUAUAGAUACUUUGAAAUUUGAAUAGCCUGAAAGUCUGAAACUCCUCCUCAAUGCCAUUACUAAUUAAUAACCAAUACGGGAACGAUUACCAUUUCUUCUCACUGCGAUUCAUCUUCCAUAUCAGGUAAGGAAAUUUCUUUUUAUGCAUUCUUUCUUCUUCUGAUUUUGCCUCACCCCAUAUUUCUACUCAAUACUGUUAUCAUGCGUUGCCAGUUUGUGUGCAGCGCCGCCACGAACCCAUUCACAGUAGGUGUUUCUCUCCGCGUGUUUAUAUGAGAUUUGGUUCUGUAAGUUUCCCAUCUUUCAGCUUAAUUGAAUCCACAUGAAUUCAUUCCUCCAUUUGUUCCUUUGCUCCAUUUUGCAGGUACUGUGGUACCUAUGUGACCCAUGAUUUUACUGCUGUGACUGAAUUUAACCAUGCUAUUGGAGCUCAAGGAAUUAUGAGUGUAGAAUAUAAGGAAAUUGUUGCUCAAUAUGGAGAGCUGAUUUGGGAUCACUUGGUAUCAGGGGUAUGUUCACAAUUUGCAACUCCCAGAAAACUGCAUUCCCAUGUCUGAUAAGGGUGGAGAGCAUGUGGAACUCCAAAUUCAAAAGGAGAAAACAAUGGACAAUGACCAGGGAUCAGGGAUGGGCUGUGGCCAGUCAAGGGACAACCGUACAAGAAGGACAACACAGGGCAAUCGAGGCACAUUUAUUAUGUGCCUUGAUGAACAUGACCAGUGGAAGAAUAAGGCUAGAGAUAAAGGGAUUUUGCAAAGAAUGGCUGAUUUAUAAGCAAGAACUCCAAACGCCAUACCAUUGUAAUCGCCUGAUACUGUCAGGAGUUAAUGUGGUCAUCCAAAUGGAGAAUUUCUUCAUGUAUCGUUGCUAAAUGCUUGGAGCUGGAACUACAAGCUAUAACUUUGCACUGACACAAAUUGCUUCUUUUACCACGGACAUCAAAUUGUCCUCCUUGGUGUAACAGGUAUGAGGCAUUCUCUGUAGCAUAUUGAAAGCGGAUUGGAAAGCAAGCUUACACAUGAGUUGAUCUGGAUAGUUAUUUUUAUGCUCUUUUGUUUGCUAAGAAAAUUCUUUGCUCAUAAUAUUUUCAUUCACUUGCAUGCCAUUAGUGAGGGAAAAAGGAUUAAUGGCAUUCAAAUAAAAUUAUUUCAAU